This 95-nucleotide transfer RNA is filed under the name Megaselia scalaris. It matches the Rfam family "tRNA". Rfam says of the family: Transfer RNA (tRNA) molecules are approximately 80 nucleotides in length. Their secondary structure includes four short double-helical elements and three loops (D, anti-codon, and T loops). The record is from Rfam by way of RNAcentral. Lineage: Eukaryota; Metazoa; Arthropoda; Insecta; Diptera; Phoridae.
CCUUCGAUAGCUCAGUUGGUAGAGCGGUGAACUGUAGAUAGUGCAAUUUGAAUGUUGAAAUCCAUAGGUCGCUGGUUCAAAUCCUGCUCUAAGCA